CCUACGGGUGGCAGCAGUGGGGAAUAUUGCACAAUGGGGGAAACUCUGAUGCAGCGACGCCGCGUGAGUGAAGAAGUAUUUCGGUAUGUAAAACUCUAUCAGCAGGGAAGAAAAUGACGGUACCUGAUUAAGAAGCCCCGGCUAACUACGUGCCAGCAGCCGCGGUACUACGUAGGGGGCAAGCGUUAUCCGGAUUUACUGGGUGUAAUGGGAGCGUAGACGGCAGCACAAGUCUGGAGUGAAAUGCCGGGGCUUAACCCCGGAACUGCUUUGGAGACUGUGCAGCUAGAGCGCAGGAGAGGUAAGUGGAAUUCCUAGUGUAGCGGUGAAAUGCGUAGAUAUUAGGAGGAACACCAGUGGCGAAGGCGGCUUACUGGACUGUAACUGACGUUGAGGCUCGAAAGCGUGGGGAGCAAACAGGAUUAGAUACCCCUGUAGUC
RNAcentral lists this ribosomal RNA (440 nucleotides) under uncultured bacterium. RNAcentral describes it as "partial 16S ribosomal RNA". It matches the Rfam family "Bacterial small subunit ribosomal RNA", at positions 338 to 795 of the family's 1533-position model. The record is from RNAcentral.